RNAcentral lists this ribosomal RNA (461 nucleotides) under bacterium enrichment culture clone KR 1979/21_DG19a. RNAcentral describes it as "bacterial SSU rRNA". It matches the Rfam family "Bacterial small subunit ribosomal RNA", at positions 433 to 897 of the family's 1533-position model. The record is from RNAcentral.
CUAUAGACAGGGAGCAAAAGGGUGAUGCGUCAUCUGAUGAGAGUACCUGUAGAAUAAGCACCGGCUAACUACGUGCCAGCAGCCGCGGUAAUACGUAGGGUGCGAGCGUUGUCCGGAUUUAUUGGGUUUAAAGGGUGCGUAGGCGGUUUCUUAAGUUAGUGUUCAAAUACGAUGGCUCAACCACCGGUCGGGCAUUAAAACUGGGAAACUUGAGUAAGGUUAAGGCAGCUGGAAUUUGUGGUGUAGCGGUGAAAUGCUCAGAUACCACAAGGAACGCCGAUCGUGAAGACAGGCUGCAGGGCCUUUACUGACGCUGAGGCACGAAAGUGUGGGGAGCAAACAGGAUUAGAUACCCUGGUAGUCCACACUGUAAACGAUGCAUACUGGGUGUCGGACAUUAGUUUCGGUGCCUGAGCGAAAGUGGUAAGUAUGCCACCUGGGGAGUACGCCGGCAACGGUGA